Molecule: microRNA, 23 nt
Filed under: Xenopus laevis (African clawed frog)
Lineage: Eukaryota; Metazoa; Chordata; Amphibia; Anura; Pipidae
Description: xla-miR-5184
Source: RNAcentral
AGGGAUAGGAACUAGUCGGUUCA